This is a long non-coding RNA of Mauremys reevesii (Reeves's turtle), 945 nucleotides long. RefSeq lists it as uncharacterized. The transcript has 3 exons. The record is from RefSeq and is a predicted model, not a curated record. NCBI's taxonomy places the organism in Eukaryota, Metazoa, Chordata, Testudines, Geoemydidae.
UCUGCAAGAAACCACCACAGCUCCAGAGUGACUGUUGACAAGGACACUGUGAUGCUAUGCCUGGCCAUGAGGAAGUGCAUAGUGGUCCUUUGGAAGAAAUUUGAUACAAAAUGAAAUCAAAGAUUGCCUACCUGGAACUUCUUUUUUUGGAUGGGAUAAGUACUGCUGAAACAAAACUGGCAGAGCACUCUCUGUGCAGGUUCACUCUGAGCUGCACCUCAGGAGGAGGAGAAGGCGGCUGCAGGAUCCUCACACAAGGAAUACAUGCGAGACAUCUCGUGGCUCUUUACUAAACAACACAAGAUGAAGGAGAUAAUCUUCUUAUUGCUUCUAUCACACUUGCAGAGUGGCAGCCCGGGAUCUGCUACCACUAGCAAGCCCUGGCCCACGACUAGGGAUGGUGAAACCCAACCAAGCCACGCAGACUUGACUUCACCUCCUACUGCAACGCACAGCCUCAGAAACCUAGUGGCAACCCCCGUAUCCACCCCUUCUGAGAUCCAAACAGCUGCAGCAAGUACAUCAUGGGAACAUGCUGUGAAAAUCACCCCUGCAUUCACAGAAGAGGCUCAGGGAUUGAAAACCCUGCCAGAGACCCAGGAGAAGAAAACCUCCACCCCACAACACAGUCCAGUGGAAACAGCAAUCGUGAUGGUGCUAAUGCUAAGCAAGGAGCCCUGUCCAACAGCACGGGGAGCUUUCCACAGAGCACUCCUAGAAAGAUGCCUCCCCAACUAGGGGCUGUUAAAAGCCAGCAAAGAACAGGGAACAGAUCUCCCAGGCUGUCGUACUACAGCGCCACCAGCACUAAGAAGGAUGCUGACUUCAAAAAAUCCAGUUUUGAAACUAGCCGGGGAAAGUAAGGAAAACUACAUAUUUUAUUCUCUUAUCUUAUGAACUGCUUAUAAAGGCCAUGGGCCAUAUCCUGGUCCUACUGAAAUCCAA